Molecule: long non-coding RNA, 1036 nt
Filed under: Piliocolobus tephrosceles (Ugandan red Colobus)
Lineage: Eukaryota; Metazoa; Chordata; Mammalia; Primates; Cercopithecidae
Description: lncRNA (ENSPTEG00000004921.1)
Source: RNAcentral
UUAUUUUUAUAUAUAAACACGAUUUAUGAUAUUUAUAUGUUUUAUAUAAUUUGCAGAAAGUAAAAAUUUUAUCCACAAUUAGAUAUUGCAGAUCAUUAUCAUGCGUUGACAUAUAUGACAAUCUUUUGUCCUUAGGAGGAGGAAAAGGAAAAUGGUUUAUCUGUUUACAAAAUGAGCAAACAAAUAUAAAUUCAAAAAAAAAAGAUGAAAGUUCUUUGAUCUGUUAUAAGGUAUUAACAAUAUAAGAAAUAAUUAGGGUGUAUACUAAUAAUAAAACUAUACAUAUAUUUUUGUGUUCAAAAUUAUAUUACUUUGUUUUAUUUUGUUUGUUUUAUUUUGUUUGUUUUAUUUUGUUUGUNNNNNNNNNNUGUUUGUUUUAUUUUGUUUGUUUUAUUUUGUUUGUUUUAUUUUGUUUUAUUUUGUUUGUUUUAUUUUGUUUUGUUUUAUUUUAUUUUAUAUUUUUUUUUUUUUGUACAUUAUUUUAUUAGGAUCCAAUUUUUUUUUUCGAAAACAAGGAUAUAUCUACUUUAGUUAGACAAUUUAAAUUAAAUGAAGCUUUGAUGUCAAUAAUUAUGAAAGACCCCCGCUCUACAGCUUCCUUAUUAGAAUAUUACUCCAAAAACCAUAUUCUACGUAUAGCAUGUAAAACACAUUCCAUAGAAGAUGCAAUACGUGUCAUUCAAUACAUAAGAAAAUAUUUUACAUCAGAUGCUAUAAUAUCAGAGUUUUUCGCAGAAUAUUUAGAUGUUAACCAAUGGAUAAAUGCCACAACGAAUGAGAAGCUGUCAAAUGAAUUGUCACUGUUAAAUCGGGUAAUAAUGAAAAAAGAAAAAAAAGAAAAGAGAAAAAAAAUAUUGAAAUAAAGAAGCAAUCGAAAAUAUCAAUAGAAACAAUAUAUACACAUUAUGCCAUUUUCUAUUCUUUUUCUCAGGUAAUUCAAAACGAGAUGGUUGUUAUUCAAAAAUUUAAGGAGUUAAAAACUUUUACCGACAAUUUAUUUAAUAAAAGUCAAUAGUAUAACUUUUGUAUGCUUUAA